CCGCACGGUGAGUAACACGUAUCCAACCUGCCGUCUACUCUUGGACAGCCUUCUGAAAGGAAGAUUAAUACAAGAUGGCAUCAUGAGUCCGCAUGUUCACAUGAUUAAAGGUAUUCCGGUAGACGAUGGGGAUGCGUUCCAUUAGAUAGUAGGCGGGGUAACGGCCCACCUAGUCUUCGAUGGAUAGGGGUUCUGAGAGGAAGGUCCCCCACAUUGGAACUGAGACACGGUCCAA
RNAcentral lists this ribosomal RNA (235 nucleotides) under uncultured bacterium. RNAcentral's name for it is "partial 16S ribosomal RNA". It matches the Rfam family "Bacterial small subunit ribosomal RNA", at positions 105 to 334 of the family's 1533-position model. The record is from RNAcentral.